UACGGAGGGUGCAAGCGUUAUCCGGAUUCACUGGGUUUAAAGGGUGCGUAGGCGGCUUAUUAAGUCAGUGGUGAAAUACUUCAGCUCAACUGGAAUUGUGCCAUUGAUACUGAUGGGCUUGAGUACAGAUGAGGUAGGCGGAAUUGACGGUGUAGCGGUGAAAUGCUUAGAUAUCGGCAAGAACACCUAUAGCGAAGGCAGCUUACUAGGCUGUAACUGACGCUGAGGCACGAAAGUGUGGGGAUCAAACAGG
This 253-nucleotide ribosomal RNA is filed under the name uncultured bacterium. RNAcentral's name for it is "partial 16S ribosomal RNA". It matches the Rfam family "Bacterial small subunit ribosomal RNA", at positions 524 to 776 of the family's 1533-position model. The record is from RNAcentral.